Molecule: ribosomal RNA, 253 nt
Filed under: uncultured bacterium
Lineage: Bacteria
Description: partial 16S ribosomal RNA
Rfam family: Bacterial small subunit ribosomal RNA
Source: RNAcentral
UACGAAGGGGGCUAGCGUUGCUCGGAAUCACUGGGCGUAAAGCGCACGUAGGCGGACUCUUAAGUCAGGGGUGAAAUCCUGGAGCUCAACUCCAGAACUGCCUUUGAUACUGGGAGUCUUGAGUUCGGGAGAGGAGCGUGGAAUUCCCAGUGUAGAGGUGAAAUUCGUAGAUAUUCGGAAGAACACCAGUGGCGAAGGCGGCUAACUGGUCCAGUACUGACGCUGAGGUACGAAAGCAUGGGGAGCGAACAGG